AACGAACGCUGGCGGCAUGCCUAACACAUGCAAGUCGAACGAAGCCUUCGGGCUUAGUGGCGCACGGGUGCGUAACGCGUGGGAAUCUGCCCUCAGGUACGGAAUAACUCAGGGAAACUUGAGCUAAUACCGUAUAAUGACUUCGGUCCAAAGAUUUAUCGCCUGAGGAUGAGCCCGCGUCGGAUUAGCUAGUUGGUGAGGUAAAAGCUCACCAAGGCGACGAUCCGUAGCUGGUCUGAGAGGAUGAUCAGCCACACUGGGACUGAGACACGGCCCAGACUCCUACGGGAGGCAGCAGUGGGGAAUAUUGGACAAUGGGCGAAAGCCUGAUCCAGCCAUGCCGCGUGAGUGAUGAAGGCCUUAGGGUUGUAAAGCUCUUUCAGUGGGGAAGAUAAUGACGGUACCCACAGAAGAAGCCCCGGCUAACUUCGUGCCAGCAGCCGCAGUAAG
This 450-nucleotide ribosomal RNA is filed under the name uncultured bacterium. Its description in RNAcentral is "bacterial SSU rRNA". It matches the Rfam family "Bacterial small subunit ribosomal RNA", at positions 29 to 524 of the family's 1533-position model. The record is from RNAcentral.